RNAcentral lists this ribosomal RNA (496 nucleotides) under uncultured bacterium. Its description in RNAcentral is "partial 16S ribosomal RNA". It matches the Rfam family "Bacterial small subunit ribosomal RNA", at positions 28 to 506 of the family's 1533-position model. The record is from RNAcentral.
GAUGAACGCUGGCGGCGUGCCUAAUACAUGCAAGUCGAGCGAACGGACGAGAAGCUUGCUUUUCUGAUGUUAGCGGCGGACGGGUGAGUAACACGUGGAUAACCUACCUAUAAGACUGGGAUAACUUCGGGAAACCGGAGCUAAUACCGGAUAAUAUUUCGAACCGCAUGGUUCAAAAGUGAAAGACGGUCUUGCUGUCACUUAUAGAUGGAUCCGCGCUGCAUUAGCUAGUUGGUAAGGUAACGGCUUACCAAGGCAACGAUGCAUAGCCGACCUGAGAGGGUGAUCGGCCACACUGGAACUGAGACACGGUCCAGACUCCUACGGGAGGCAGCAGUAGGGAAUCUUCCGCAAUGGGCGAAAGCCUGACGGAGCAACGCCGCGUGAGUGAUGAAGGUCUUCGGAUCGUAAAACUCUGUUAUUAGGGAAGAACAUAUGUGUAAGUAACUGUGCACAUCUUGACGGUACCUAAUCAGAAAGCCACGGCUAACUACGU